GAAGUCCUCGUGUUGCAUCCC
RNAcentral lists this small RNA (21 nucleotides) under Arabidopsis thaliana (thale cress). RNAcentral's name for it is "Ath_wt_09514". The record is from RNAcentral. Lineage: Eukaryota; Viridiplantae; Streptophyta; Magnoliopsida; Brassicales; Brassicaceae.